RNAcentral lists this ribosomal RNA (485 nucleotides) under uncultured bacterium. RNAcentral describes it as "partial 16S ribosomal RNA". It matches the Rfam family "Bacterial small subunit ribosomal RNA", at positions 28 to 507 of the family's 1533-position model. The record is from RNAcentral.
GAUGAACGCUAGCGAUAGGCUUAACACAUGCAAGUCGAGGGGCAGCGCGGGUAGCAAUACCUGUCGGCGACCGGCGCACGGGUGAGUAACGCGUAUGUAACCUGCCCGCAACAGGGGGAUAACCCGGCGAAAGUCGGCCUAAUACCGCAUAAAAUAGGGGUCCCGCAUGGGAAUAUUUGUUAAAGAUUUAUCGGUUGCGGAUGGGCAUGCGUACCAUUAGGUAGUUGGUGAGGUAACGGCUCACCAAGCCUUCGAUGGUUAGGGGUUCUGAGAGGAAGGUCCCCCAGACUGGUACUGAGGCACGGACCAGACUCGUACGGGAGGCAGCAGAGAGGAGUAUUGGUCAAGGGGCGAGAGCCUGAACCAGCCAAGUCGCGUGAAGGAUGACUGCCCUAUGGGUUGUAAACUUCUUCUACAAGAAAAUAAAAUGAGAUACGGGUAUUUUAUUGCAGGUACCUUGGGAAUAAGCAUCGGCUAACUCCGUG